UCUCUGGUAGUAUAUCGGAUAGUACACCCGCCUGUCAUUCAUUGCUUCUGAUGUUCGGUGCGCGGGAGAGCGGGGUUCGACUCCCCGCCAGAGAG
Molecule: non-coding RNA, 95 nt
Organism: Punctularia strigosozonata HHB-11173 SS5
Lineage: Eukaryota; Fungi; Basidiomycota; Agaricomycetes; Corticiales; Punctulariaceae
Source: the annotation of a RefSeq genome assembly